ACCUGAGUGGCUCAGUGGUUGAGCGUCUGCCUUCAGCUCAGGUCAUGAUCCUGGGAUCGAGUCCCACAUCAGGCU
Molecule: non-coding RNA, 75 nt
Organism: Canis lupus familiaris (dog)
Lineage: Eukaryota; Metazoa; Chordata; Mammalia; Carnivora; Canidae
Source: Rfam